Rhinolophus ferrumequinum (greater horseshoe bat) is the source of this 1646-nucleotide long non-coding RNA. RefSeq lists it as uncharacterized. The transcript is spliced from 4 exons. The record is from RefSeq and is a predicted model, not a curated record. Lineage: Eukaryota; Metazoa; Chordata; Mammalia; Chiroptera; Rhinolophidae.
UCCUGGAGAGAAGAGCACCCACCCCCAUGGCCACAGAGACCUUGCUUCUGGGGCUGACAAGCUCCGCGUCCGGAAGUGUGGGGCCAGCUGUCUCCCCACCCCACAGGCUGCUGUGCGAAGUCUGCACAGCGUGGAGCCCUGCCUGCCUCCGUCCACACGUCUCGUCCACCCCAGCUCUCACUUCCUAUCGGUUCACACUCUGCCUCCAGGGAAAAGGUGCUGCGGGAGGGCGGGCAGGCGGGCGGGGGGACACCAGGUGCUGUAACAGCUGGCGGGGGGUGAGGGGGGUCGGAGGAGGGCCACGUGAGUCAUGUCUGAGGGUCCAGGAGAAGCCGGCGAGUACACGCGAGUUCCAGAACAGAGCAGCAGAGUUCCCAGAACAGCCUGCGUGGUUAAACCCUCCUGACGCUCCAAGUCUCCUUUGCGUCUCAUUUCCUUUCUGCACAGAGAACUCCCUUCAGCCAUUCAGGGGAGGUCACCUCACAGGGAGUGUCCACUGCACUGUACACGUGAAGCUGAAGUAGAAUAAUGUAACGUGGAAUUUCACUCUGGCCAUUUUCAAGGUGGUGGUGUCUUGUUCACUCAGCUUCAUGAACCUUUAGAUUUAUGGAUUCUGUCCAUUUGUGGAAUUUUCAGCCAUUUGUUAAGUAGUUUUUCACCCCCGCCCUUUUCGCUGUCCUCUGGGACUUGUGACCCAACAGUCAGAACCUGUUAGUCGGCAGGUUCCUGAGGCUUUGCCCACCUGCUUCUAUCGUGCGCUCCCAGAGGCUCCGAUUGCAUAAUCCCUGCUUGACGGUCACCACCCUCCCCAUCUCCUGGGUCUUCAUCUCACCCUUUGCAUGUUUUUACUGCUGACACGUCCAUUUGGCUCCUCUUGAUCUCACAUUCCUUGCUGAGAAUUUUGAUUUCUUUUCGGAGGCCGAGGAGGGUCCUGAACACACAGGAGACAUGACCCAACUGACGCUGUCAACAGGCCCGUCUGGCUGCCACAUGGAGAAGACACCCGGGGGGACAGGUCGGGUUGCGGGGGGAGCGGGCGGGGGCGCGCAGAGUUGUCAGGACGUGCCUGCCGGCGUCCAGAUGAACAAAUGCACACUCCAUCAUUCAUUCACUCCCUGCGCCACCCAUUCUCCGCAGGGUGUCACCCCAUUCUGCAGUGUCAUGCAGGGUGGCUUGUCACACACUUCCCGAUUCUAGGUGCCGUGUCCUCACACACACACACACACACACACACACACACACACCCCAUUCGCCCGCAGCGCCUUCCCUUCUCUCCUGGCCCCAAGUAGGGGUGCAUCUCACGCGGGGCCACGCAUGUGGCCGACGGCAAGUGUUUGCUGCAGUGGCCACUGGUCGUCAGCCAUGGAUGCCGAAUUCCACGGCGUCUGAGAGCGUCUGGGCAUCACGGCCACUCGUGUAACCGAACUGUGCUCCCUGAGGACACAGACGGCUUCCAUGUCCUUGGCACCUGCAGAAUGCCAGGCACAAAAAUAAACAGUGGCUACGUGGGAGGCUCACAUCCCGGGAAGCUGGGUGACGGGUACCUGGGGACUCUAACGCUCUGUUGUAUCCUGCAAAUCUAAAAUUAUUUCAAAUAAAAAUUAACAAUUCUGGCGGGCAAAAAGUAAACAAUGUGGGUUCCCACA